This 381-nucleotide ribosomal RNA is filed under the name uncultured bacterium. Its description in RNAcentral is "bacterial SSU rRNA". It matches the Rfam family "Bacterial small subunit ribosomal RNA", at positions 524 to 904 of the family's 1533-position model. The record is from RNAcentral.
UACGUAGGGUGCGAGCGUUAAUCGGAAUUACUGGGCGUAAAGCGUGCGUAGGCAGUUUUGUAAGACAGGCGUGAGAUCCCCGGGCUUAACCUGGGAAUUGCGCUUGUGACUGCAAGGCUAGAGUGCGUCAGAGGGGGGUAGAAUUCCACGUGUAGCAGUGAAAUGCGUAGAGAUGUGGAGGAAUACCGAUGGCGAAGGCAGCCCCCUGGGACGUGACUGACGCUCAUGCACGAAAGCGUGGGGGAGCAAACAGGAUUAGAUACCCUGGUAGUCCACGCCCUAAACGAUGUCAACUAGUUGUUGGGGAUUCAUUUUCUCAGUAACGUAGCUAACGCGUGAAGUUGACCGCCUGGGGAGUACGGUCGCAAGAUUAAAACUCAA